CCUACGGGUGGCAGCAGUGGGGAAUAUUGCACAAUGGGCGAAAGCCUGAUGCAGCGACGCCGCGUGAGGGAUGAAGGCCUUCGGGUUGUAAACCUCUUUCGCUCAUGGUCAAGCCGCAACUUUGGGUUGUGGUGAGGGUAGUGGGUAAAGAAGCACCGGCUAACUACGUGCCAGCAGCCGCGGUAAUACGUAGGGUGCGAGCGUUGUCCGGAAUUAUUGGGCGUAAAGGGCUUGUAGGCGGUUUGUCGCGUCUGCCGUGAAAUCCUCUGGCUUAACUGGGGGCGUGCGGUGGGUACGGGCAGACUUGAGUGCGGUAGGGGAGACUGGAACUCCUGGUGUAGCGGUGGAAUGCGCAGAUAUCAGGAAGAACACCGGUGGCGAAGGCGGGUCUCUGGGCCGUUACUGACGCUGAGGAGCGAAAGCGUGGGGAGCGAACAGGAUUAGAUACCCUAGUAGUC
This 458-nucleotide ribosomal RNA is filed under the name uncultured Actinomyces sp. RNAcentral describes it as "bacterial SSU rRNA". It matches the Rfam family "Bacterial small subunit ribosomal RNA", at positions 338 to 795 of the family's 1533-position model. The record is from RNAcentral. Lineage: Bacteria; Bacillati; Actinomycetota; Actinomycetes; Actinomycetales; Actinomycetaceae.